RNAcentral lists this unclassified non-coding RNA (231 nucleotides) under plant metagenome. RNAcentral describes it as "partial contains small subunit ribosomal RNA, internal transcribed spacer 1, and 5.8S ribosomal RNA". The record is from RNAcentral.
UCUCCGUUGGUGAACCAGCGGAGGGAUCAUUACCGAGUUCCAGCAACUCCCAACCCUUGCGAACCGUACCCCAGUCUGUUCUCGUUGCUUCCGGCAGGCGGGGGGGGCCACCUGGCCCCUCCCCCCGCCGGGGGCGGCGGGCCCUCUGAACCUCUAUAUCUCAACCACUGAAACCCGUCUGAGCAAAACAAAAAAUAAUCAAAACUUUCAACAACGGAUCUCUUGGCUCUG